Molecule: ribosomal RNA, 239 nt
Filed under: uncultured bacterium
Lineage: Bacteria
Description: partial 16S ribosomal RNA
Rfam family: Bacterial small subunit ribosomal RNA
Source: RNAcentral
CACAGCGAUGUGAUGCUAAUCUCCAAACCAUGUCUCAGUUCGGAUCGGAGUCUGCAACUCGACUCCGUGAAGCUGGAUUCGCUAGUAAUCGCGCAUCAGCCAUGGCGCGGUGAAUACGUUCCCGGGCCUUGUACACACCGCCCGUCAAGCCAUGGGAGCCGGGGGUACCUGAAGUCCGUAACCGCGAGGAUCGGCCUAGGGUAAAACUGGUGACUGGGGCUAAGUCGUAACAAGGUAUC